CCUAACGUAGCUUAAGUGGUUAAAGCCCCGGCUUGUGGUGCCGGUGAUUGCGGUUCGAGUCCGCACGUGAGGAC
RNAcentral lists this transfer RNA (74 nucleotides) under Gordonia phage Syleon. RNAcentral describes it as "tRNA-His". It matches the Rfam family "tRNA". Rfam says of the family: Transfer RNA (tRNA) molecules are approximately 80 nucleotides in length. Lineage: Duplodnaviria; Heunggongvirae; Uroviricota; Caudoviricetes. The record is from RNAcentral.